UUGGAGGGCAAGUCUGGUGCCCGCAGCCGCGGUAAUUCCAGCUCCAAUAGCGUAUAUUAAGGCUGUUGCAGCUAAAAAGCUCGUAGUUGAAUUUCGAGAUCAGAAUGUUGGUCGUGCCUUGGUACGUACUGGCAUUAUUGGUUUCUCCCUUCUGACGAACCAUGAUGUCAUUAAUUUGUUGUCAUGGGGAAUCGGGACUGUUACUUUGAAAAAAUUAGAGUGUUUAAAGCAGGCUCGCGCUUGAAUACAUUAGCAUGGAAUAAUGAAAUAGGACGUUUAAUUCUAUUUUGUUGGUUUCUAGGAUUGACGUAAUGAUUAAUAGGGAUAGUUGGGGGCAUUAGUAUUCAACUGUCAGAGGUGAAAUUCUUGGAUUUAUUGAAGACUAACUACUGCGAAAGCAUUUGCCAAGGAUGUUUUCAUUAAUCAAGAACGAAAGUUAGGGGAUCGAAGACGAUCAGAUACCGUCGUAGUCUUAACCAUAAACUAUGCCGACUAGGGAUCGGAUGAUGUUAAUUUUUUAAUGACUCAUUCGGCGCCUUACGGGAAACCAAAGUGUUUGGGUUC
Molecule: ribosomal RNA, 564 nt
Filed under: uncultured Glomeromycotina
Lineage: Eukaryota; Fungi; Glomeromycota
Description: SSU rRNA
Rfam family: Eukaryotic small subunit ribosomal RNA
Source: RNAcentral